AGCGAACGCUGGCGGCAGGCUUAACACAUGCAAGUCGAGCGGGCACUUUCGGGUGUCAGCGGCGGACGGGUGCGUAACGCGUGGGAACGUGCCCUCUGGUUCGGAAUAACUCAGGGAAACUUGAGCUAAUACCGGAUACGCCCUUUUGGGGAAAGGCUUGCUGCCGGAGGAUCGGCCCGCGUCUGAUUAGCUAGUUGGUGAGGUAACGGCUCACCAAGGCGACGAUCAGUAGCUGGUCUGAGAGGAUGAUCAGCCACACUGGGACUGAGACACGGCCCAGACUCCUACGGGAAGCAGCAGUGGGGAAUAUUGGAAAAUGGGCGCAAGCCUGAUCCAGCCAGGCCGCGUGAGUGAUGAAGGCCUUAGGGUUGUAAAGCUCUUUUAUCCGGGACGAUAAUGACGGUACCGGAGGAAUAAGCCCCGGCUAACUUCGUG
Molecule: ribosomal RNA, 435 nt
Filed under: uncultured bacterium
Lineage: Bacteria
Description: partial 16S ribosomal RNA
Rfam family: Bacterial small subunit ribosomal RNA
Source: RNAcentral